Molecule: transfer RNA, 66 nt
Filed under: Marmota monax (woodchuck)
Lineage: Eukaryota; Metazoa; Chordata; Mammalia; Rodentia; Sciuridae
Description: tRNA.Ala
Source: RNAcentral
GGUUGUGGCUCAGUGGUAGAGCGCUUGCCUAGCAUGCGUGAGGCACUGGGUUCAAUCUCAGGACCA